CCUCUAGGGGAUGAGGAAUUUAAUUCCUAUGUUCUCACCGGGCUUGGAUCAGACUACAACUCUCUGGUAACUUCAAUUGUUACUCGUGUCGAGCCUAUUUCGUUCAAUGAACUACAAGCACAGAUUCUUAGUUUCGAGC
Panicum virgatum (switchgrass) is the source of this 139-nucleotide small nucleolar RNA. RefSeq annotates it as small nucleolar RNA Z247. The record is from RefSeq and is a predicted model, not a curated record. NCBI's taxonomy places the organism in Eukaryota, Viridiplantae, Streptophyta, Magnoliopsida, Poales, Poaceae. The transcript has a single exon.